Molecule: ribosomal RNA, 373 nt
Filed under: uncultured organism
Description: bacterial SSU rRNA
Rfam family: Bacterial small subunit ribosomal RNA
Source: RNAcentral
CGUAGGGAGCGAGCGUUGUCCGAAGUUACUGGGCGUAAAGCGCGCGUAGGCGGGCUGUUAAGUGAGAGGUGAAAGGCUGGGGCUCAACCCCAUGCAGUGCCUCUCAUACUGGCGGUCUGGAGUGCGGCAGGGAGAAGUGGAAUGGCUGGUGUAACGGUGAAAUGCGUAGAUAUCAGUCGGAACACCGGUGGCGAAGGCGGCUUCUUGGGCCUGGACUGACGCUGAGGCGCGAAAGCUGGGGGAGCGAACGGGAUUAGAUACCCCGGUAGUCCCAGCCGUAAACGAUGGAUACUAGGUGUCGGGGGUAUCGACCCCUCCGGUGCCGCAGCUAACGCAUUAAGUAUCCCGCCUGGGGAGUACGGCCGCAAGGUUG